This is a non-coding RNA of Biomphalaria pfeifferi, 1792 nucleotides long. Lineage: Eukaryota; Metazoa; Mollusca; Gastropoda; Planorbidae. The record is from the annotation of a GenBank genome assembly.
CUGAGUAGCCUCAUCAGCACUUUGCUGGGAACACAUCUGGAGCAGUGUUUUAAGUGUUUUGCUCAUUUAAUCCCCUGUGUUGACUACAAAUAUACUACCUAUAUUUAAUGUCUUUGUCUUGCAUCCAGGGUUCUGUCACAAAAAAAAUGUACAUAGAUCUAUGUACAUACUUGUACUCUAUGUACAUACUGUAGUGUAUAGUCUUGUAGGGCAAUAACUUUAGUGUAUGCUUUGGUCAACUUGUGACAAUCAUUGUUGAAAUACUGCUGGACAUUGUUGUGAUGAUUUAUGUACAAUAAAAUUAAGGACACUACAUGUUAAAAAAAGCAUCAGGAAUGCAUCUAACUUAAAUCUGUAUUACUUCAAGUCAACAAUCAACUGCUGAGGUAACCAGCUGCUCUUGGGAUGUUAGUAUGUGGGAUGACAGUAACCUAUAAAAUGUGGGACAACGCUAGAAACUAAAAUGUCCUUCUCUUACUAGAACUGUGAGCCCAUGGAACUUCUAGAAUGUUCAAUGCUUCCAUUAUUUUAGUCCAUACUUUUUGUUUUGUUUUUUUUUACUUCAAGGUUAAUGAUUUGACCUUAUUGUUUGUAUACACAUGAUAGUCUACAGGCACAACCAAAGCUAUUUUAUUGAAUAGUUUGUACUUGAUUGCUACUUUGUGUGCUGUAGAAGUGCAAUAGAGGCUAAUGUUUUGCUUUUCAACAACAAUAGUGUUUUGUUAAGAUUGCAAGUUGUGAGACUAUUUUCUGAAUGUUUUUUUCUUUUGUUGACCUUUCUCCACAAAGCCAAAUAGAGUAGACUUUGCACAUUUCAUUUGGUAUUGUUGUGAAUGUUUUAUAGAAUCUGUGCAGUGCUGAACUGGGCAUGUACAGUACCUAGUCAUAUUAUGAGUAAUAUAUGUAUGCAUUUAUUGGUACUCUUACAGUGAGCAUAAACUUUCUUAUAAAUCUACCUAUAAAGUCUUAUGUAUGAUUAAGCUUGAGAAAGUGAACCAUAUAUUUUGUGAUAUCAAUUAAUAAUUAUCUUUUCAACAUUAAAAAUAAUCAAAUUAUUUUUCAGCUUAAAAAAUUUUAAUCUUGAAUAAUAUUUCAAACUGGUCAGAUAACAGUGGAGUUUGCUUUUUUCACAUCAUUUUAAUUACAAAAUUGUAAAAAAGUUAUAAUAGAAAAUGGAAUCAUUGAAUUCCUUCAUUUUGUUUUCAUCAACCAAAUAAUACUCUGAUCAAGAGUUCACUAUCUCAAUCCUGAUAUUUAUGUAAACUAGAUCUAAACUAUCUACAAAAAUAUAUGUGUUUACAAAAUAAUGUGUGUAUGGUGUAUAUAUAAAAACAAGUAGGCUUGAGUAUAUUAGUGUAUAUAGGAACCCUUAUCUAUAUUAUAACUUUCACAACAAAUAUGUUUCAUGUAGUAUUUUUGUAUGAACUUGAUGUAUAAAUGUGUAUAUUAUAUAAACAGCAGGACUCAAAAUGUAAGAUGGAAUUCAGUCCAAUAUAGUUGACUUUUUUCUCUUCAUAAGAGUUGCUGAUAUUUAAAUGUUCCCUGUAAGCUGAUGACUGGUGGUAAUUUCUAAACAGUCAAAACUAGCAGGUUUAUGUAGUUCAGUGAGCCAGUGACGACAUGAUUAGGUUGUGCAGUUAUACAUUUCCUCUAUACUCUGACCAUUAAAUUCUGAACAAAAACUUCUGGAGUUCUGCUAUUGAUUUACUUUAAUAAUAAUUAGAGCUUUUAUAUAGUGCUACUUUCAUGCUCUUAGCAUGCUUAGAGCACUAUGAUCCUAUCUUGUUGGUGG